GUACCGCAGCUGGACCGCGGAGGCGUGGCGGCCCGGGCCGCUUCCCAGGUGCUGGAGGUGACCGCUGGCUGCAGGUAGCUCGGACCACCCUCUCAGCCCAGGUCCGGCUUCCCCCUUUCCCGUCUCCCACUUCCCGUGGCCCCAGCUGGAAUUCUGACCCGGGGUUCUGCCGCUCACCCCCUCUGGCUGCAGAAGGAAGAUGACUCAUUCCGCUGCUGAUCUGGGAAAGAAGCCCAGGAGGUCUAGCUCCCAGCCUGACCCCUUUCUCUGCUAGCCCAGGACCCUGGCCUCUCCCACCUCCCCCAUCCCUCCUCUUGUGACUGCGCCGGCUGGCUGGCCCCAGAGCCACAUCUGGCAGGCAGGUGUUGAGCCUAGGACCGGGUGAGGAACUUGGAGGGAUAGGGGGUGUGGGCAGGAUCUCGGGGCAACCACGGUGGGGAACGCCAUUCUGUCUUCUCCUGGACAAAGAUGAAGAAGAGAUGGAAGAAGAUACGCUCCUUCCUAAGUGGCCCGCUUAGUUAAGACUCCUGGGAAAACUGAGGUCCUUGUCCUCAUCCCCCGUUUUCAGGCCAAUUAAGCGCUAGAACCUUCAAAUCCCAAUCCCCCCUCACCCAAACACUGAGCUAGCUGCUGGGCCAAGGUGGCCCCCUUCCUCUUCAGGCUCAAUGACAGACAGAGAUAAACGGCUGCAGCUGGAGACCAAGUUAAUUGAUGCAAUAAGUUCUGUAAUUGCCUUGAAAAUAAGGUUCCUCAAGUGUCAUACAGGCAUCCAAGGAAACAAUGACUGUAUUAAAUCCUGGAUAGCUCUUAUUGUAUCUCUCAGAAAAUGAAGAAGACCUAAAGGACUCUCAAGAAUCCAUAAACAAUGCAAAACCAACAAAUUAAUCAUUCAGCAAACGUUUAUGAAGCACCUAAUAUAUACUAGGCUCUCAGACAACAAAAACAAUAGCAAAACAAUCCUUCCUCACAAGAAGCUAGCAUCUGUGAUAUAAGUAUAUACAGAAUAAAUAAAUGCAAUGUGGUUGGGUUUUUUUUCUC
RNAcentral lists this long non-coding RNA (1038 nucleotides) under Monodelphis domestica (gray short-tailed opossum). Its description in RNAcentral is "lncRNA (ENSMODG00000034207.2)". The record is from RNAcentral. Lineage: Eukaryota; Metazoa; Chordata; Mammalia; Didelphimorphia; Didelphidae.